Molecule: long non-coding RNA, 7297 nt
Organism: Phyllopteryx taeniolatus (common seadragon)
Lineage: Eukaryota; Metazoa; Chordata; Actinopteri; Syngnathiformes; Syngnathidae
Exons: 3
Source: RefSeq, a predicted model, not a curated record
AAAGUAGGGUUUCAAAAUGGGGUUAGGGUUUCAAAACAAGGUUAGUUUCAAAGUAGGGUUUCAAAACGGGGUUAGGGUAUCAAUAGUGUUUCAAAACAGGCUCAAAUGCACACUUCCGUCUGAAAUGGUUGACAACAACACAGGGGCAGUGGGAGGAGUUAGUCGUGCAGGAAAAGGCAUCUCGUCAUCUGGGUUUACCUUUAUUUGCAUGAGCUCCAUUACCUCACGAUCUGAAAAUUUGGCGACAUAAUGGAAGAAUCAGAAUGACAAACCUGUUUCCAGAUUUCACAAAAUUAUAAUUUUUUUACAGUGAAGUCAGGAAAAUAGCUGGAUAGUAUGGAAUUUUGCAAUCGCAAAUGUGUAUGAACCCUGUGUGUAGAAAAUAGUGUUUUGACUCAUCGACAAAGAAAAAGAGGCCACCAUGUUUGCGGUGAAGACAUCGUGUCCGUCACCGUUGUCUCGCGUUCCAGCGCCACUCGUGAAUGUCUCGGACGCGAGUGUCCUCCUCCUGACCUGCGCCUUGUCCUCCACAUACACACGACAAAAACACACAAUCAUUUCAGGAGUAAGCUGACACACUUUUCCGCACGCGUUGAAAAAUUGGCGCCAUCAGGUGUACAAAUGUAAAAAAAUAAGUAGUCCGAGUCAAAUAAAAAGUUUAAUUUUUUCGAGUAAAUAUUUUUCGAGAAGAAUCUAUUGAGGGAAAAAAAGUUCGGUACGAUUAUUUUCGGGGAAAAAAAUGCUUAGAAAUAAAUGUCAAUUUUUAAAAAGUUCACUUAUAUUUUCAAAAUUAAAAGUUGUAUAUUUUUGAGAAUAGUCGUAUAUUUUUCUAAAAAUCGUAUAUUUUGAAGGGGGGGGGGGGAAGUCUAAUUUUUUUUUGAAAAAUGUUGAGAAAAUUAUUUUAAACUUCAGAGAAAAAAAACAUUUGCAUGCGGGGAGGGGGCGGGGGAGAGGGGUGGGUGUUACCGAGCCUUGCCGAGAACACCAGAGAAUAACUGACUCACUCCUUAAGAGGUAAAUUGCGGUGCCAACACAAAGCAACACACCACCACGCAUCUAGCAUAUACACGAUCAUGAAUCCAUGGUACAUAAACAACAAUUCAGACAAACAAACAAACUACCUUCACAUAAGGCUCAACAGUAGUGUUAGCCAGCAUAUUAGCCUACAAUACAAUAGCACAAACUGACGUGACAACACAUGUGCAAAUAAAUAUGUAUAUAGACAAUAAUUACUGUUAGGGAAUACAGGGAAAUUGUAAUGACAAAGGAUUACAUCUGCUUUUAAUAGCUGUAUGGGAGAGAAAAGGAAACAUACUUUCAGUUUUACUUUUGACAUUUUCUUAACAGUAUUUCUGAGGUGAAAAAUACACAAGCUUUAUUAUCUAAAUCAAUUAUAUGAAGUAAACAUUAUUAACAUCAUCAAUUAACAUCAUCAAUUAUCUUUUCAACUAAAUUCAAGAUUGUUAUAAUUUACCCAUUUAAAAUAAUCACACCAAGCAACUUUCUGAGAGCCUCGGCCCACAAGGCAAAAACAUUGUUCGCUUUAACAACUUUAAAUAUAAAAGUAACCACGUCACAGGUGUUUUACCGUGGCACUGAAGUGCAAAACACAACACAACAAAUUAAACAAAACUGCAAAUUAAAUUCAUUCAUUUGCUGUUGUGUUAUUUGUUCUUGUGGUUGUGUUGUUUUGCACUUCAGGGCCACCGGGACACAAACGCACGAACCACUGAGCUAAAUAAACCCCCAAUGCUCUUACCACAAUGACAAAUGUACUUUUAAAGCACAGCUAGUGAGGUCGAACAGCAAUUGUUAGAAUUUCACUUUUUCAUAUUGAACAGUGACACUGCGAAAGAUAUCACUAGAUAAUGACAUUACUCACAUUUAUAGUGGAACCUCGGGUUACGAAUUUGUUCCGUGACCCCGUUGGUCUCAAACUGAAACGUUCACAAGCCAAGGUAGUGUUUCCCAUUCAAAUGAAUGGAAAUGCAAUCAAUCCGCUCCAUCCGCAGAACUGUUAUAUUUACCUUAUUUUUAUCAUUGUGUGGUUAAAAAUACUGUGCACAUGCUACAGAUAGGUGAAAAGAAUUUCUGAUCAAAUAGUGGGUUCACUAGCAAAUCACUAUCCAGUGUCUUCAGCCUUUUGUAGCCUUUUCGAGUCCACUGUUUUAUGUUCACUUGUGUCCAAAUGUUUCCAACACCUCCCAGAAUGCAGCACAGCUUUUCCAUUGCAUUGUGGGAUGUGGCGGCCAUUUUAGGCAAAAAAAACAAAACAACACAAAGUUUGGGAGCUUUAAGCGGCCAUGCUAAGACUGUUUUUGAAUCGAAAAUAGUGUGUAACUCAAGGUAAUUUGUCUUUCAAAAAAUUGUUCAUGAACAGAAUUGGUCAUAAACCAGGGUUCCACAUUUCAAAUAUUACACAAGAGCUGUAGUGAUCAACACGCACACGCCACUCGUCUUGAGAGUGAGCGCCACAAAAAGCCAGCACGAUAGCAAGCUAGCAAACAACGUUAGCAAACUUACCUUUAAAAUUACAGAGGUAAGAUGGGAUGUGAAACUUGAAUGAAUAGCAAUUCCAGCAGACACCGAAUGAAUUUAGGAUUCCACUGGGAAGUCUAGGUGUCAACACAGAGCACGGAAGUGCUGCAUGCACAGAGCAACAGCAUAGACCAGAGCUGCAACCCGUGGCUCCGGAACCAUAAGUGGCUCUUUCAUCCUUCUGCUGUGGCCCUCUGGUGAGUUUGAAAUUAAAUACUGUGACACUGCUUAACUACUAGAAGUAAAUUGCUACAUGGAGCGAUUUCCAGGGAGAACAGGAUUGCAUCUUCCUAAGCUAGCAAAUCGCCAGGCAACACUUGGCUAAACUUCGUAUGGCUUAUCCCGAGCUCAGACUAUAAUUUUUUUGCAUCAUUUACGACAGUCGCUAUGUCAGAUUACCAGACAUGGUGUCAUUAAAUCGUUUUGUCUUGGACCGUGUACAAUGACUGCAUGAUCAUCGCAGGCCGUCGCCAAGCGCGCGGUCCGACGGCACAGGUCAUCGGGGAGGCGGGACAAGAAGAAAGAGUCCAGGCAGAAGGGAAACAGCGUUUGGGCAUGCCGGACCGCAGGACACAAUAUAUAAAUAUAUAAAGCUUAACGUCGCGUAAGGUCAGAUCACAAAAAUGUAUGUAGACAUCUCUCUUUAUGCUCACUUCAACCUCUGAAAAUAUUAAAAUGAUCAACACAAUAUUUUGGAUUUUAAGGUCAAAGCGUUUUCCAUAGGUGUUCACUAGAGAAAAAGCCUGUGCGUCGCUUAUGACGCUUUUUUAACGCUUUUUCAGUGUCCCGUUUAAAGGCGCUCUGUCACUCUAUUGGUCAGUGUCUAGAAACAAUCAUAGGACCACGUAGGAUUUCACACUAUGCGGAAAAUACCAAAAAAAAAAAGACUUUCCAUGUCAUGGUCGGGAGGCGUCCCAGAUGCCACAUCUGGCAAUCUAUUACGUCAACGCUUGAUAACUCAAAGGAUCGGCCAUGACAGUGCACGUUUGUCUGCGAUGUGUCCGUCGGGUCCAAAUCAGGCUACAUUCGUGUAGUCUGAGCUCGGCACUAGUGUGGAAAUGACCGGGAUGUCACUGUAUCUCACACAACCAACAUUCAGGGUUUCAUAAAAACAAAAGUGCAGCAUAAUUGUAACCUGGGAGUUAAAUAAGACUCACAUUCAAUGAACUACUGGUAACAUAAACACACAUGGAAAAAAAGGAUAAAUGUAUUCAGUACAGAGAAAGUUCAGCAUUGCAUGGGGCAAUGCAUGCUGGGAAUCGCGCAGCUAAACCGUUGCAACAAUUCUCGUUAUUUGCAAAUGUUUUUGUUUUUUUUGGUUCGUUCGCUUUUCAAAUAUAAUUCUAAAUUGGAAGAUGAUUGUGCUCUUGUCACAUUUUUUUUUUUUGUCACUCAAAAUAUGGGUCACAGCCGCUAACGCGUGACACCUGGUGCCAAGAUUCAUUGCGCUAUAUUCGAUAAAUCCAACAAGAGUUUCUGAAGAAACCUAAACAUUUAAUGCUAUGUGCUACAUUCACUAUAUUAAAACAAACCUCGCUCACAUAGCCUCACAGAUGACAAUCAGGAGCAAUAAUCACAUCAACCAGGUAUAAUAAAUAUUUUAAUUGAUUAUUUUACAAAUAAAUAUUUUACAUUGUUAAGUCCUUUUUUAUUUCAAGUUGACAGCUGACUGCACGCUUCACAGGCAAUAAAAUGAUGACGCAACACAAAAGCAGAUUUUGGGAUUGCUGGAGGUGGAUAAUUCGAGUUUGGGUUUUAACUUCAUAAAUACGAGGACUCAAAGAGACAUUAUUGGAAGAAACUUUCAGAGCUUUUUGGAGAGUUCACCAUGUUUUUGUUUUAUGCAGGAAUACAAUUUUGUGUUCUCUAUCAGUUUGCAUAUUUAAUAAAUGCUGAUAUAUGCAGCGUUAGCCUCACUUUAAUUGUCGAAAGGGUCCAGUGGGGCCUGGUGUUUUUUUUUUCUGCUCGAGACAGUCCAAAUGGCCAAAUAGUAUUAUUUCAAAAAAAAAAUUUAUUUUACUGUGAAUGUAAUAUGGUGACAACCGUGCAUGGCAGGGUGGCGCCCUAGUUGGGGGAUUCAUACCUAAGUCAAGGUGUUUUUUGUUUUUUAGAAAUAAGGCAUAUUUUUAGAGAAAAAAAAUGUGUAUUUAAAAAAGUUGUUAAUGUAAAGACAUUUGCAAUUGAAGUUUACUUUUUGUGACUAUCAUCUGUGUGCAGAGUACUUAAUGUUAGGGUCGGGAGGAGCGCAUACCCAAUCCGUGGUGGCGUCAGCAGCCACGCGUUUGCGCGUAUGUGUGCGUGUCCCCCGCGACGCUCUUGUGGUAUUGAUGGCACGGCGCGUCCUCGCCAGGGGCGUUGCCCAUGGCGGCGCAGCAACAUUCCACCCCCGGGGCGACGUCCUCCAGUGAUUCUUAAAUUUGGAUGGGGAAGGGGGCUUGACGACAACACGAGAUUUGUGCAGGUGUACCUAAUGUUGUGCCGGUGGAUGUCGGUCCCAUGACUUACUUGAGACGCAGGCGCUGUGCCUGCUGCGAUCGCGCUUCCUCUUUUUGCCCUACCACACAGAAAAAAAACAAUGAUUGUUUUGCUUGAGUCCAAAAAAAUUUGAGUCAAUUCUGAAACACAGGAACUCUCUUAAAACUCAUUCACUGCCAGUCUUAGGAUAUUUGACGUCUAAAACCGUCAAUGGCAGUGAAUGUUUAAAGGCAACGCCGGCAAGACGUAGAAACCACCAAUAACAAAAUAACCAGAGGAAUGCUUGUUAGUUUCUUUUUCUCCACUUAGUGAUCUGCUUAAAUUUCGGCGAAAUGUCUCGGAUGAUCUGACCAAAGCGGAGGUCCACCGGUAGCCAUUCCCGGCCUGACAGGGGAUCGUUGUGUAUUUCUUGUCUUGUGGUCACAUGGGUUAACACGGCCAAUCAGAUGCGUAUACACUGUAACAAGGAAGUGGAGAGCGUAGUCGAGCCCAAAAGAAAUUUUUAGUACGACGGUUCAUUAUUUGAUACCGAGACAAGACCAGGCACUUUUAAUACCGCACUAUUAUGAAUCUUGUGACAUCCGUAGUACUCACCCAAAACCUUUGUGAUGAAAACAUGGUCGGCAGACAUGCCUGGCUAAAUGUAUUUUCAAGAACAAAAGUUGUAUAUAUUCGGGAAGAAUAUAAUUUCAGAAAACGUUACAUAUAUGAGAAGGUCAAAUUUUCAAUCAAAGUCAUAAUACAGUGACACCUUGACUUGCGAGUUUUAUUUGUUUUGUGACCACAUCAUCUUUCCCCAUGUUCUUGUUUUUUUAUUAAAAAAAUUGCCCUCUAGAGUAUUGUACUGUACAGUGUAAAAACAAAAACAUAGUUGUAACUUCCAUCCAUUAUCUUUACUGCUUCCUCACUCGGGUCGAGGGCUGCUGGGGCCUAUCCCAGCUAUCUUCGGGCGGGAGGCGGGGCACACCCUGAGUCGGUCGCCAGCCAAUCGCAGGGCACAUAGAAAGAAACAACCAUUCACGCACACAUUCACACCUACGGGCAAUUUAGAGUCCUCAAUCAACCUACCACGCAUGUUUUUGGGAUGUGGGAGGAAACCGGAGUGCACGGACAAGAUAAAACGCAUGCAUAUCAUUGACUUAGACCACAGGUGUCAAACUGGUGGACCGGGGGCGUCACAUCAUUUUAUGUGGCCCGUGAAAGCAAAUCAAAAUUGCUAAUUGUGUUCUGGUGUAAUAAUGGAUUGCUUGCAACACAAAUCAACCUAGGGGCUUGCUCGUAACUUGAAAAACUCCAAAUCAAAGUACCACUGUAUUUUCAAUUUUAAAAAAUAAAUAAAUAAAUCAUAUUCCGAGAAAAACGUAUAUGGUAUUUUGGUCUUACGUAGUUUUCCGUGCAGGACCAUUCUGGAUGCUGCAGGCUAUGGAGGACUUUGUGCUCCUCGGCCUGCUGGUAGUACUUGGCCUGCAGCUUCUUUGGCAGCGACUUCCACUGUGGAAGGGGACAACAAGUCAGCACCAUCGCGCUAACGUCGACAUAACAAGACCAGGGUGUUUAAACGCCUUACAGGAGGAGGAGCCUGGUUCACACCUUCGUACACCGGCAUCAUCAUGGCGUUGUCGUCCUGGGGAGAAAUAUAAUUACUUACUGUAAAGCCAAGAUGGCCAAUACACUUUCAAGCAUUUGUCAAAUGUACAGUAAAACACAAAAAAGACAAUGAGCACACUCACGCAGCAGCUGCUGUCGACCACAGCUCACGCGCGUACGCAACAACAAGCUCUCUCUCUUAAAGGCACAAUGUACACAGACACUACAAAACAUUCAACAUUUUCUACACAUCUUUUUCUUGCAAUGAUGGUGUUUGAAUAUGUUUAGUGUUUUUAAAAGCAGGUAAAAGGCAGUAACGGCAGCUAUUUAAAAUAUGUGUGAUGUGGUUUCUUUGUAUUAUAGAUUUUCAUCUUAUUGUGGAUGAUUCUGGAAUGUAUCACCUGCAAUAAUAGUGGUUCCCUGUAUUUUUGUGUGUUUUAUUUUGGAACAUAUGCUCAGUUAUUUGCUGAAAAACUCACCUUUUUGCAUUUAUUGUGCUAUUUCUGAAACGCCCUAAGAUUCCACAAGAUGGCACCAAAGCCCUGUCUAAUGGGAAAGUACAGUGGAACUAUGUUCAAGAGACACAUCUUGACUGAGACACAAGAUUUGGAGGAGCUAUGAGAUUCUCCACACACACACACAAAGCCAUUCGUUUUUAUUCCGUGAGUUAAUAGCCAUAAACGCCAAACAGCGUGAA